Equus asinus (donkey) is the source of this 1714-nucleotide long non-coding RNA. The record is from Ensembl. NCBI's taxonomy places the organism in Eukaryota, Metazoa, Chordata, Mammalia, Perissodactyla, Equidae.
UUUUGUUUUCACAAAUACUUAAACAAGGAACCUGUUUUCUUGGAAGUUUUUCCCACAGACUAUUGAGGGGGUUGACUGUGUGGAUACCCUGUGGGGCUGCCAGGCCAAACCCCACGUCGCUCUGUGGCCACCGAGCGACCACUGGAGCGGGACAGCAGAGCACAGCCAUCCCGAGGGCCUUAGGAAAGCCAGGGCCCCUGUCUGGGCUCAGCUGUGCAGCACCUGGAAGAAAGUCAAGACAGCUGAUUCCACGAGGUGCCUGAACAGGCAUCCUAGCCUUCCACAUUCCCUCAGCCUGUUAUCCAGUGCUGCCAGCUACAGACACCAUCUGUAGUCUCAAGGAGCUAAGUCUGGCUCAGGGUACACACAAGUGAACAGGCGAUCACAACUCAGAGGCGUCAGUGUCUUGAUGGAGGAAGCACAGGCUGUGAUGAUGCAAACUCCUCGACCCAAGUACAGGGUGAACCCAGUCAAGCCUGUAGUAACUGGACAUACUGGUCGACUGCGUCUUACCUGCUUUGGCGCUCCUAGCCAUUCUUCCACACCUUGGCUCAUCUCCCCUUUAAAAGGAGCUUAGGAGCUGGUCCCAUGGCCAAAUGGUGAAGUUCGUGCGCUCUGCUGCAGCGGCCCAGGAUUUCUCCACCUCGGAUCCUGGGUGCAGACAUGGCACCGCUCAUCAAGCCAUGCUGAGGUGGCAUCCCACAUGCCACAACUAGAAGGACCUGCAACUAAAAAUAUGCUGUGUACCAGGGGGGUUUGGGGGGGGGGUAAAAGUUUUUUUAAAAAUCUAAAAAAAAAAGCAGCUUAAAUUUCACCAAGGCACAUGGUUGCUGUAAGGCUUGAGGCGUGCACUGGCUGAUAAACAUGACUGUGUUACUCAUCUGGGGUUAAGAGACACAAAACGCCCUUCCUACCUCCAAGUGGAGGCUGCAAAGCAUCAGUCAAGAAACAACCCCUGUCGUGUCACCAGCAGCUCAUGCCAGUUUCAUCUCCCUGCCUUGGCAUGCGAAGAACUACACGUGUAGAGCAAUUAGCAUUUAAUAUUUGGUAAUUAGCAUGCUUAAUAUGAUUCAGAGAAGUUACUUGACAUUUUCGUAAAAACAGAAAGCACAUUCUCGCCCUUCAAGGAGCAAGGCCCAGUUUGUCAAAAAACUGCAUGCCAGUCUUUUUUGGUGCUGAAUAUGCAUGUGUUGGCCUCUUCUGGGACACUGCUGGUAAAUUUAGAAACUCGUUUAGAAGAGAACUCCUUCUUAUUCAGCAGCCAUAAUACCCUCUUGGAUCAGAGACUCUAAGCGAAAAUGGCUAAACCGAGCUUCAGUCUCGGGGCUGUGAUGGUCCUUUUCAAGUAAAUGAAAACCUUCCGUGCGCCCCCGACAAACCACACACUGUUCAAGUCCAACAAGGAGCCAAAUGUGGGGCCGCGGCGAGAGAUACAGUCUACCCCAUCGCUCCAGCGCAACAACGUAACUCUUCGCCCGACAAUGUAGCCGCCGGCUCCCGUUUCUCCAGCCCAAAGGCUCGAGCCGGCGUUCCGCACGUCCCACGCUCGGAAACUUCGCACCGAGGCCGAGACGUCAACUCAACUUUCCCGUCCCGAGUCGGGCACCCUUUCGCUCCCUCUCUGCGGCCCUCGGUGCCUCCCGGAUCCCUGGGAGGGGGCAGGGGCGCUGGGGCUUCACCGCCCGGUCGGCGCGGGGCCGGACGAAGGACCCGG